Molecule: long non-coding RNA, 419 nt
Filed under: Heterocephalus glaber (naked mole-rat)
Lineage: Eukaryota; Metazoa; Chordata; Mammalia; Rodentia; Bathyergidae
Description: lncRNA (ENSHGLG00000039157.1)
Source: RNAcentral
GUUCUGAUGAGGGAUGUUGAUAAUGCAGGAGGCUGGGGGCUGAUAGGUGUUGGGAGCAGAGAGCACGUGGAAAAUUCUUGCCUGCUUUUCAACAUCCACCCAAGAAGUAAUCAUUGGGCAAAACUGACCACCAGGCCUCAUCUCACUGCAAGGGGGCUGAAGAAUGACAGAAGACAAAGCUCCAGCUGGCAGAGAAAGAUGAAUGUGAGAGAAGGAAAAGUUUUAUCUAAGCCUGGAACCCAAGAAGAGAACCUCUGCCUGCCCAAAUCAGAUCAACACAAAUCUAUAUUUUCAAAAAACCUAAAGCAAGGAAAAUGUUAGCUUUAUAAACUCCACUUUGGAAAAGUUUUAGAACAGACCUUAUUAUAGAGUUCCACUAAGGCACCUGGUAUGGUAUUUCAUAUGGAAUUUGAUUCACA